GAUGAACGCUAGCGGCAGGCUUAACACAUGCAAGUCGAGGGCAGCAUAAACAUUGCUUGCAAUGUUGAUGGCGACCGGCGCACGGGUGCGUAACGCGUAUGUAACCUACCUCAAACAGGGGCAUAACACUGAGAAAUUGGUACUAAUUCCCCAUAACACUCAUUAAGGCAUCUUUUGAGUUGAAAGUUUCCGGCGGUUUGAGAUGGACAUGCGUUGUAUUAGCUAGUUGGUGAGGUAACGGCUCACCAAGGCGACGAUACAUAGGGGGACUGAGAGGUUAACCCCCCACAUUGGUACCUGGAGACACGGACCAAACUCCUACGGGAGGCAGGCAGUGAGGAAUAUU
Molecule: ribosomal RNA, 346 nt
Filed under: uncultured bacterium
Lineage: Bacteria
Description: bacterial SSU rRNA
Rfam family: Bacterial small subunit ribosomal RNA
Source: RNAcentral